Molecule: ribosomal RNA, 741 nt
Filed under: uncultured archaeon
Lineage: Archaea
Description: bacterial SSU rRNA
Rfam family: Archaeal small subunit ribosomal RNA
Source: RNAcentral
UUCCGGUUGAUCCUGCCGGAGGACAUUGCUAUUGGGAUUCGAUUUAGCCAUGCUAGUCGAGCGAGUUUAGACUCGCGGCGAAUAGCUCAGUAACACGUGGCCAAGCUCCCCUUCAGUCAGCGAUACCCUCGGGAAACUGAGGUUAACAGCUGAUACAAAACGCCAGCUGGAAUGCGGCGUUUCAGAAAGACAUCGCUGAAGGAUGCGGCUGCGGCCGAUUAGGUAGACGGUGGGGUAACGGCCCACCGUGCCAGUAAUCGGUACGGGUGAUGAGAGUCAGAGCCCGGAGACGGAAUCUGAGACAAGAUUCCGGGCCCUACGGGGCGCAGCAGGCGCGAAACCUUUACACUGCACGGAAGUGCGAUAGGGGAAUCCCAAGUGCGAGGGCAUAUUAGCCCUCGCUUUUCUCGACUGUAAGGCGGUCGACGAAUAAGAGCUGGGCAAGACCGGUGCCAGCCACUGCGGUAAUACCGGCAGCUCAAGUGAUGUCCCAUAUUAUUGGGCCUAAAGCGUCCGUAGCUGGCCGACCAAGUCUACCGGGAAAUCCACCCGCCCAACGGGUGGGCGUCCGGUAGAAACUGGCCGGCUUGGAACCGGAAGGCUCAGAGAGUACGUCCGGGGUAGGAGUGAAAUCCCGUAAUCCCGGACGGACUACCGAUGGCGAAAGCACUCUGAGAAGACGGCUUCGACAGUGAGGGACGAAAGCUCGGGUCUCAAACCGGAUUAGAUACCCGGGUAGUC